Molecule: unclassified non-coding RNA, 2219 nt
Filed under: Neodiprion pinetum (white pine sawfly)
Lineage: Eukaryota; Metazoa; Arthropoda; Insecta; Hymenoptera; Diprionidae
Description: uncharacterized LOC124222477, transcript variant X1
Source: RNAcentral
CCGACAUUGAACUAAGUCCAGUGACGCAAUAGCUGGUAAAUAAGAGGGUUUUAACCUAUGUUCGAUCUGUCAGACCAAUGUGUGUCACAGGCGGUGAAUUUUUCGUGGAUCGUGUAUACAUCGUCAGUCGUACUGCAGCCCUUCUCAACGUCACAUACAAACGUAACUUUGCUCACGCACAGUGGAUGAAAUCCAACGGGCCAUCACUCGGCAACAACAGGAAACUUAUGACGAUGAGGAAUCGCAUGGGGUAGUGGGUAAUUUACAAGAGCAGGCUGCAUUCGACAACGCCAAAGAAGUGAAUGAUCCUGACGAUUCUGACUUCGUUAUGCAAGAUAACGCGGAAGCAGAUCCCGAUAUAAAUGAGGCAGAUAUGCAGAAGCGCACAGUACUAACGCCUAGAAAAAGAGCACAAGUAGAUAGACAGAGUACAUCUAUUUGAACGCCAGCCAUGACUUGGUCGAAACCAGCACCUGAACUUCGGGGCAGGCAUUUCGGUGAGCAGAACUGGCUUACUUGCUAUACGCAAGAAGCUCGAGGCGCCGCAAAGGAUGUUUUUUCCAUGAUAGAAGCUUGGUCAUUACUAUUUAUUGACGGCAUGCUUGCAUUGAUUAUAAAGCAUACGAAUGAAUCAAUACUGCGUUGGAUUGUGAAAAUGACGAUUGAAGCGCAACAAGGUAGAGAAUUCGUCAAGCAUAUGUAUUAUGAUGAAACAAAUAUGGCAGAAAUGAAAGCUUUUAUUGGUCUCAAUAUUAUGGAGGCAUUUAUGGAGUAUUAAUGACCGCCGUACAUUCUUUGUGGGAGUCUGAGUCAAUGUCCUUGUUCACCGCAGAUAUUACACUCCAUAUGAGCACGUAAUUAUCGAUGAGCAGCUACUCUCUUUCCGUGGAAAAUGUCCGUUUAGAAUCUACAUGAAGAGUGAACCUGCCAAAUAUGGCUUGAAGAUUCUUAUGAUAAUCGAUAGUAAAACCUAUUACAUGUUCAUCACGAUACCAUAUGUCGGAAAAACCGUAGGUCGAGAGAGUGUCCCUUCAUAUCAUGUCAAACUUCUAAUCGAGCCGAUACAUGGAAGUAAGCGCAAUGUUACUUGUGACAACUGGUUUAUGUUAGAACCUCUAGUAGAAAUAAUGAUUGAAGAGCCUAGUGGAUCCUAAAAUCCGUGAUAUUAGGGUGAUAUUCACGUAAUCGCUCAAAUUCCACUCAACUCAUUGGUGUAGUUGUAAAAUUUUUCCACCACGGUUUUACUAAAAUUACCCUCGGAAAAUCGACUCUGGUAUCAUCAAAAUAUCAUUAUUUUAAUUCACUGGCGAUCUCCUAUUUUCCCUAACUUUAUAUAAAUUUUUCAUGUGUACGUUACGUCCGUGGACGUCGUUUACUCCCGAGCGGUGAGGAAUAAACUGGUUCGACUUCGCUUUUACGUCCGGGGACAACCGGAAGUUGGGAUAAGGGUUGAAUAACCGUUUGGAUGUUUGAGAUAUCAACUAUAUAUUUGGUUGAAUAAUUUGUGGUAUAGUUUAAACGGAGUGUGUAGUUCACAAUAUCGGUAAGAAAAACUAUACGUGAGGUUGUUGAGUGUCGAAAUAGAAUUUAUCGUACCAAAUGUUGGAAUGGUAAUGAAUCUGAGCUAAAGAGGAGUAGACGUAAGGUGCGCAAAAUGGUGGGGAAUAGAAUUAGCAGAGUUGGCAAAAAGCGAGUGGCGUGAGCCAAAAUGGAAAUAGGAGGACGGGAAUGAGAUGAUAAGGCUAUUGUAAGGAUCGUGGGAGAGUGACGAGAUGAGGGAGACAUGUGGCGAUAUGCCGGACGUAACAUACAAAUCUUUAUGAUACAAUUCAUACAGUAUUGUUGGAAUUAGUUCUUUGACUAAAUUUUUUGUGUUAAAAAUUUUGAAUAACAGUUCUUUUUUUCUUUCGUCUUGAAACAUCAGCAGUUUCUAAUUAGAAUAAAUUGCUUUUUUCUAAGAUACAAUUUUUUGAAAAAUUACAAAUAUUUUGGAUAUUUUAUGAAAACAAUUUCCGAGUGUCCGUUUUUUCUCUCCACUAAAUUCCCCCUCCCCUGACCCUCCCCUUGUUGAGCACGCCAGCUGUCCAACAAAAAUUUGCGAUAUGUAUCUUUUGUAAGAUCAAUUUUUGCCAGCAUUCAUUGCGGAUCGCCAAAUUAUUGUGCACACGGUAAGUUCUCGGGCCACUUCUCCGGGCGGAGUUACAGCAAAAAUCCGCGUC